UUAACAGAAAAGUUAAGACACAGAAGAUAUUUAUAUUACAUAAAUCUCACAAAGGACUAAUAACCAGAAUAUGCAAAGAAUUCAUACAAAUCAAUAAGAAAAAGACAUACAACCCAAUCCAAAAAUGGGCAAAAGACUUGAACAGACACUUCGUAAAAGAGAUUUCCAAAUGGCCAAUGAACACAUGAAAAGAUGCUCAAUUUCAUUACUCACCAGGGAAAUGCAAAUUAAUACCACAAUGAGAUACCACUACACACCACCAGAAUGGCUAAAAUGAAAAAGACAAAUAAGGUCAAGUGUUGGCUAGAACACAGAGCAAUCAGGAUUCUAAUACAUUGGAAGUAGGAAUGUAAAUUGGUUUACACAUUUUGGGAAACUUGUGAUGUCUAUUCAAGUUGAUCAUACACAUACCUUAUGAUUCAAUAAUUCCAUUUCUAAGUAUAGAUAGAUAGGAAUAUGUAUAUAUAGUCCCAAAUAGACAUGUACAAGAAUUUUCACAGCAGCACUUUUUAUAACAGCCUCAAACUGCAAAUAACCCAAAUGCCAUCAACAACUGAAUAAGUAGCAGUAUACUCACAUAAUGGAAUACUAUAAUGAAAAUAAACAAAGUUUAACAACAUGUAACAAUAUGGAUGAAUCUCACUGGCACAAUGUUGAACAGCUCAACAUAAAAAAGCUCAUACUGUAAUGAUUCUAUUUACAUGAAGUUCAAAAUGGGUAACACUAAUCUAUGGUAUUAACAAUGAGAUUGGUUACCUGGGGUGGGGAGAAGGGCUAGCUAUUAGAAGGGAGGCAUGAAAGAGAUUUUGGGGUUCUGGCAAUACUGUGUUUCCUCAUCUAGGUGCUGGUAUCACAUGGUGUGUUCACUUCGAAAAUGCAGACUUGCACACGUAGAAUUUGCGUACAUGUUUAUAUUAUUUUCAGUAAGACUUAUUAAUAUAAAACAAAAACAAAACCUUUGGGUUUGUGACUCCUGUAGACAAGUGGCUGGGAAGAUAACAAAGGAUAACAGAUUAGGCUAUGCCAGGAUCAGCCAAGAUGCAGGCCAGUUCUAUACUUCAGGCAGCUUGCCCAAUCUCUAGGGCAGAAGACUAGUCUAGUAUCUAAGGCAACAGCACAUGGCAGAAAAGGGGAGGGUUUCGCUUUCUUCAUCUACUCUUUCUCCAUACUUCAUUCCAGGAGAUUUUCUGUAUAAUUCUAAGGAGUAAGCUGAAAGCUAAAAAGCAAAAGGGAGCUUCAUAAAUGAGAAUAUGCACAAUAUUUCAAGUAUAUUGAAUGAUCUAGAAAAUUUUCAAAAGGUAGGGAUAAUCAGAGUCAAAUAAGGAGAAUGCAGGUUGUUCACCAAAUUAGUUCAGGGUUAAAAGUUUCAUUUGAUUAUGAGUUCAAUGGGGGUAGAAAAUUAUUUGACAGCAGUCUUUUGGGCUGCUUUUAGAUACCCUAAGGAGAAAACAGAGUACAACUUCGGGGAGGGGUGACUGCUCAAUUUCUCACCAUAGCCUUUUUGUCAUAUAGCUUGUUGCUAUGGAGAAGGCCGUGAAGGCAGCAACUAAAGGAAAUAAAGGAUCUGGCAGGAGUAAGCACAGGGAUAGUAGAUUAAACAAAAAUUUCUUGAGCAAUUAGUGAGUAGCAGGGCCUAUAAAUGACAUACUUUUCUUGUUUUUCCUAACCCCUACCCCUUUGAAAGUACAUGGGCUUGGUUUACCACUAUAAUUUAAUUGAAAUACAGAGAAGCCUGAAUGGGCCUAACAAAGCUUAAGCCUGGCAGACAAAACACAAGGCCACUUAGCAAUGCUGCCUAAUGCCAGGAGGAAUCAGCUACCUACCCACCCUAUCCUGGUGAAAUUAUCUCCAGCUGCCUAAAUUAUAAAGUUGAUGCCCUGUGAUUUCUUUGUUCUGUAAAGCCUGAGGGAGAUGGAAUAAUGAGGUAUCAGAAGAGGUGGAGAACAGCCCCUUGUUUCAGAGUAGUCAGAGAGAGAGAGAGCGAGUUAAAGAGAGAAAUGGAGUUAGUUCUCACCGGUAUCAUUAAGAGGCAGCAGCAGCCUCAGUAGCAAUAGCUUGGGAGCAAAGCUCUGCUUGAACUAGUCUGAAACUACUGCUGUGGGAGAAAAGGCUAGUUGCCAACUUUGUUAAUAGCUUCUGCCUAUCAUUGUUACAGCAGCUUUAUCAAAUAGGGCAGGGCCAGGACCUGUUUUUAGCAGUGUAAGCACUAAGACCAGAGGGCUCAACAUCUUCCAGCAGAUUUCAUCACAACCAAUGACUAACAAAGACAAGUCCCUCUUCUAUUCCACAUAAAUGAUUACAGAGUUGUAAAUAUCAGAGCUAGAAGGAUCAUAGAGAUCAUGUAGUCCAACCUCCUCAUUUUACAAAUAAGGAAAUUAAGGCCCAGAUAGUCAAACGACCUUAUUAACAGAGCAAGAAAACACCAAGGCUCUCAAAUAGGACUUUUUCCCCUUUGAAUCACACUUCAAAGCUAAGUUAGUUAGGGCUAAUGAUUAAUCCCAGGCAAUACCAGUAAGAUAUUUAUUGCCUAGGUAUCACUCAACUAAAUUCCUAAGUAUCAGGAUGAUUUUGAUAACAAAAUAGGUCUGGGUUUUGUUACUGAAAUAUAAAAAGAAUCUCAUUUGCAAACAACCUUACCUAUCUGGCAAGCUCACAGCCUAGUCACCUAUAUAUACUGCCUGACUGUGCUUUGCUUGGGGGAGGGAGGAGGUGUGUGAGCAUGCACAAAGGGAGACUCUCUUUCUCCCCUGGAGAUUAGUCUAUUUUGCCAUUUGCAAAAUGAAACUCAAAAAAGCCGGUGACUGAAAUUUUUCCCAAGGUCUUCAGGAUUUAAAUGUAUGACAGUGGACAUAUAACACAAUCCACAAAGGUAUAUAAACACGUCACUGCCCUAAAGUAUCCUCUGGGAGUAAGCUGCUAGGUGGGAAUGUGUUGGCUGUUGUUUUUGGUGGGGGAGGGGUGGGAGAAAGUAGGUACUGAUUUCCCUAAUGUUUCCUUUGUGUGGCUGCUGUUGCCAUGUGGUGGUCUGUUGCUAUGAAGAUUUGUGGUGUCAGACAAUGGCUGCUAGGCUCUUUAUGACUGUGCUAUUGGUAGAGCUAUUUCUUCGGGAUUCAAGCUAGUAUGCAACUGGCUAAACAGUGGAGAAAGCUUGGUUGUUACUGUGCCCCAUCUCUCCUCUAGGGUAGCCAACAAGAUGUAAGCAGAAGUCUUAUGGUGUGGCUUCUGGGAAACCUCUCCAAAGAUCUUCAGAGAAUGAUCUUUGCAGGAAAUCUCUGUUACCUGAAGAUGAAAAGGAAUGUGAACCAACUCUGAUCCCAAUUCAGACCUUCGCCAACUGACAGUUCAGGUUCAUAAAUUUUCAAAACAGAAUAGAUUCCGUUCUCAGGGGCAAGUGGAACAUGCAAGAAGUCUGGAUGCCUUGGGCAACAGCAACCUACAGUGAGCCAACUGCUUAGUGGAUGCCUGAAAACAAGACCAUCUAAACAUUUCCUAUAAAAUCUGUACCAAGUGACAGAUACAUGAAGCGGUGUGGGUGGCUGGGCAAUGAGGCAAUCAGUGGGAAGAGUGAACUGGCUGUACCUAUAGGUGUUAAAAAAGGCAAGAGCUGCAUAUGCAAUGAGCCAACAUUAAGUGAAUUUAAGAGUGACUAUUCUCCAUCCUCUUGACUCCCUCAGCUGCCCUUUUAUUAAUUUUUCUCUUCAGGCCUGACCUCAAAUUUAAUUUAUAAUCUAACUCUCCCAUAUAAAAUAUGGAGAGUACAGAUACAGUUUGAAUUACCUGGCCAAUACCUAUCACAUGACUGCAUAUCAUAAGUACCAGGAUCAACACUGUUGAAUACUAUGAAGGGAAGAAUCUCUAGAAGCUGGGAAAUUUUGCUAAGUCUGCUAAAAUCCUCUGUGUGGGUAUCUCCCGCAGACUGUGGACACUUGAGACUCUAAUAACCACUUGGUAAUAUUUACAACAAUAAGUCCCUGGUGGCUCCCCUGCAGAAGCAGGUUGAGAAGGGAGGGGAAAGCCACAUA
RNAcentral lists this long non-coding RNA (4022 nucleotides) under Homo sapiens (human). RNAcentral describes it as "HSALNT0381780". Lineage: Eukaryota; Metazoa; Chordata; Mammalia; Primates; Hominidae. The record is from RNAcentral.